This is a long non-coding RNA of Lemur catta (Ring-tailed lemur), 770 nucleotides long. RefSeq lists it as uncharacterized. The transcript is spliced from 3 exons. The record is from RefSeq and is a predicted model, not a curated record. Lineage: Eukaryota; Metazoa; Chordata; Mammalia; Primates; Lemuridae.
UGGCUAUAUGAUUAGCUGAAAUGAGAUGAAAACGUGGGGUAUUUUAAGGGUGGAGGGAGGGAACAACCGUCUCAGCAAGGAGAAGCAAGGACACCUACCCCAGCCACAGGCCCAGUUGUAAAGGGCUGUUCCCUUGUGCAGAGUAGAAACUGCUUCUGCUGGAAGUUGCUGCUAUCAAGUUGCUGACUAUCAAGACCAGUGUCCUUAGGAAAAAGCUGGAUUUUGAUUAAAGAAAGAAGGCAGAGGGAACUUCUGAAUAGGGAGAUUUUUCUGGUGGUAGACUAAGAAUUAUGAGUAAAUAGUGCAGAAUUUUCAGGAUAGGGAAGGGAUGGAAGGUAGGGAGUCAACUGAAGAGUGCCUUUUACAAGAUUUUGUGAAAUGGAGAUUCAGGGCACUUCGUGGUGAUAUUGGAAAGAAGAGAGUGAUAGAGCGACGUGUGUACAUAUAAAUAUUUAUCCACGUGCAUACAUCUGUAAGUAAGAGGGUACUUGAAGAAUUUCCUGAUGAUGAUCCAUUAAGAAAGAAACUAAUCUUGCAGCAAGAAGCUCAUCAAGAUCCACUUCUUCGGCACAGCAUAGCACACACCGAGAAAAAAACAGAUUGAUGGAAGACACUGGACGUCUCUUUACUUGGACUCCCUGGCAUAUCUACAAUUCCUUCCAAAGAAUAGCACCUUGGUUUGAUGUUAGAGGAUAGAACAUGCAUACUACGUAAGCCUAUUAAAUUAUGACAACUUCCACCCAUUAUGUCAUUAGCACUCGCUCUUCUGU